RNAcentral lists this ribosomal RNA (496 nucleotides) under uncultured bacterium. RNAcentral's name for it is "partial 16S ribosomal RNA". It matches the Rfam family "Bacterial small subunit ribosomal RNA", at positions 28 to 506 of the family's 1533-position model. The record is from RNAcentral.
GAUGAACGCUGGCGGCGUGCCUAAUACAUGCAAGUCGAGCGAACGGACGAGAAGCUUGCUUUUCUGAUGUUAGCGGCGGACGGGUGAGUAACACGUGGAUAACCUACCUAUAAGACUGGGAUAACUUCGGGAAACCGGAGCUAAUACCGGAUAAUAUUUUGAACCGCAUGGUUCAAAAGUGAAAGACGGUCUUGCUGUCACUUAUAGAUGGAUCCGCGCUGCAUUAGCUAGUUGGUAAGGUAACGGCUUACCAAGGCAACGAUGCAUAGCCGACCUGAGAGGGUGAUCGGCCACACUGGAACUGAGACACGGUCCAGACUCCUACGGGAGGCAGCAGUAGGGAAUCUUCCGCAAUGGGCGAAAGCCUGACGGAGCAACGCCGCGUGAGUGAUGAAGGUCUUCGGAUCGUAAAACUCUGUUAUUAGGGAAGAACAUAUGUGUAAGUAACUGUGCACAUCUUGACGGUACCGAAUCAGAAAGCCACGGCUAACUACGU